CGUCAUUUGCAUCUCGCACCUUGCGAGACCAAGCGAGACUGAGAAACUCAGGUGUGCAAAAUUGCUUUCUUCUGUCUGCUUGGCCGCUCAUGAUGGGCGUGACAGUGGAGACAAUUAAGGAAGGAGACGGUCAGACAUACCCAAAGCCUGGGCAGUAUGUGACUCUCCAUUAUGUAGGUACACUGUUCACAGAGAAUGGCAAGAAAAUAGAUUCCUCUCGAGACAGGGGUGUUCCAUUUACAUUCCAGCUUGGUAAGGGAGAAGUGAUCAAAGGAUGGGAGGAAGGUGUGAAAAGAAUGAGUAUAAAGGGAGAGCUUGAAAAGCGAGAGUUACAUGUCCUCCCAAGCUGGCCUAUGGACAUAGGGGCAUCCUGGAUUGAUACCCUCCAAUGCCACUCUAGUGUUCGACAUCGAACUGCUGAAGCUGAGCUGAAGAUGUUACCAACAUCUCCUAGCCAUCUCCUCAGCAUCGGGAGAGGGCUUCAGGGGGAGAAAACUCCAGUACCAUGGAACGUGAAGAUGACAACAACUGACUGGACACUUUAUAAGAUUAUGAUUACAUGUGCCAGUGUAGAUUUUGUACAUAUGCAACCCAUGUAUUGUCUGAUGUACAUGCUUUGUCAUGCUUUGUUGGGCGAGCCCGGUUAUGUAGUACCUUUUGUGACUAUGUAGGACUGGUGCUAACCCUACUGCCUUGUGCAGGCUGUCAAACACUUUGCUUCUCAGUUGUCUUCAACACUGCUUUGUAUGAUUUCUACAGUCUGCCUGUUAUAUGCUUAUUGAGUCCUCUUUCUCAGCUGUCAUAUUUAUUGAUUGAGGUAUCUGAAGAUUUGCAGAGAGGACUGAUGAACCAUUACUUUCAUGGAAGACUUGGUAGGUCAUUUAGUCAAAGCUGUUAGCCGAUUGCAAAAGGCAUCAUACACGAAUCUCUCAUUGUAGUCAUUUAUAUCAUGUUUAUAUUUGUUUAUUUGGAACUACACAGAUGGGCAGAAUUUUUGUGCAGUUGAUGAAAUUUGGAGUUUUCUGGGGAUGGAUAUGCAUAUCUUCCAGUGUUACAUAAUAUCUUCUUGUUAGUGAUGAAUGAAGACGAAGAUCAUUAUUGAUGUGAUCAGUAAUGCUCUGUAAUUAAUUACAGUUGUCACAUGCUUGCGGAGAAAGUCUUGUUUGUAAAUACAUAACAUUGACAAGCCAGAGAAAGUCGCCAGCAUGGUUAUAAAACAAAGCUUUUUUCCAACUUUGUGAAGUGAUUAUACAUAUUUGUCAUUUGGUGUUGAAAUAUCCUCCUGGUGUGUUUUUCAUUCAUGUAAAAGCUAAGUAAUAUGUAUGGGAGAGCUGAAGAUUAAGGUGAAAGGUGAUAAUUGUGACACUGAAUAGUCCUCUGUAAUAGAUGGGCGGAUUUGUGAGUUAUAUUACAGAUUCAUGGAAUACAAAAUUAUUGUCACAAUGUUUUAAUCCAACUGGGUUUUGAGGAAGCUGUGUAGGUGAAAUACUGCUAGAUGAUUCUAGUGGUGCAGUUCCUCUACUACUUACUUGCAAUGCCAUCAAUGCACUUUGUGAAACUGAAAGGAAAGGAACCUUUUCAUGGCUGGAUUGAAGUUAACCAGCUGUCAACACUCGUUUGUUCUUUCACCCUUUUUUUAUGUGUGCAAUUGUCAGAUGUAAUCCUUAUUAAUAGCCGUUUCUUUCUUUUUUUAUUGACCCAUUUCAAUGCUUUGAAAUAUUUCUCGAAUGUGUUAUGCUUUUCUUUGACACCAUGUUCAUAGUGAUUUCCUGUUUCUUUUGCCUUUAUCCAGAGUUAUCUCCCUUAUGGGGAAAUUCAAAAUAUUAAUGCUGAAUUAAAUAUAGUACAUUAUGUUAUGAGAUGCAUGCCUAACUUUGAAAAAUGUUUAUAUCAACAAAGAGAUUCUGUUGUUAAAGAGUUAUUUUAAUUGACUGAUUUUUAAACUUCCUGUCACAGUGGUAAAUAUUUCAUUAUUUUUUAGUUUGGUUUUUGUGAUUAUGGUGAUGAGAAUUGAAGCUGAUGCUUUCAUGCAAGUUUGUCAAGUGAACAGCUUUUACACCUUUUAAAACUAGAAUGUUAUUUAUGUUGAUUAUAAAACUAAGCGAAAUGAGCUGUUCUUUUAGUGAAAUAUUGACUUUGUCUGAUGGGCAACUUGCAGACAAUUUAUGUCACCCGAACCCCAAAACACAAAACGUAAGAUUUUAUAUCCCAUGUCAAACUAUUAACUGACUACAAUCUUACAAAUCCCCCUUUCCAUGUGACAGACUUGCAGUGACUGUCAAAGUCUGUCAAUUCCUAUUUAAAAAUUUUAUUUCACUGAUUUGAACUCUGUGAAUUAGUAUAUGUAUGAUAUGGUUCAAGUGAUCGGUGAGUGAUAACUACUUCCUGCCUUGUAGCGGCUUCACAAACUACCAAUUUCUUUCUGUUUACAUGUGAUAAGCUUGGAUUCCAGUCAGAUGCAAGCAAUACCAUGAUAUUUACAGAACAAAAUUACACAGCACUUGUUGAUUUUAUUUUGUUAACACGACUAAGGACAUGUUUUGUUAUGGAAUAAGGCUUGUUAUAGAGUUACCAAGAAGAAUUGUGCUAGGAAAGAUUUGUGCCGUAGGAAAUUAUGACAUUGCAAUGAAGAGGACAAGUCGGUGAUGAUGGGUGUAAAUUCCUGUGUACCUGUGAUGCGAUGAUGGCGGUGUUACUAUGCCUUGAGAUGCCACCUAGCUUUGUGAAAGUCUAGGAUAUAGAGUCUGGUAUAUUUGUACAAUAUUAAGCUGUGCACACUGUACGGCAAUGAUGAUGCUGUCACAGGAUGAGCUUGGAGGCCAUACCAUGGAUAUAAUUAUAGAAUUUUGUAUAGCAUCAAUGAUUGCAUUAAAAACCUUUAUCUGCUAUUUA
This 2892-nucleotide unclassified non-coding RNA is filed under the name Haliotis rubra (blacklip abalone). RNAcentral's name for it is "uncharacterized LOC124253743, transcript variant X1". Lineage: Eukaryota; Metazoa; Mollusca; Gastropoda; Lepetellida; Haliotidae. The record is from RNAcentral.